CACGCACACACACAGAGUGUUGUCUUUUUCGGUGAGGACACGAAUGCCCAGGUUACAUGUCUCUAAGUAGUGGAGCAAAUUCACGUGUUCCUCUGUAAUUGGGAAAUUGCCCUGCCAAGGACGACCUCCUCUCUAACGCCGCUAAUUGGUGACAGCACUUCGGGUUCCAGAAGCUGGGGAUCACGAGGAAGAUGGACCAUUCAGCCAUUUUUCAGUUCAAAGUCCUCCUCUCCUUGUCCUUGCAAAGCUUGAUAUUGGCAUGGUUUGUCAUGCCAGAUGAAGGACGCCUUGGCAACCAAUCUGCUUUCCCAUUCCUGUCUUGUUCUUACUUCCAUGUUUGAGGAGUACUGCACAAAUGGGGGAUGGUUGGUUGUAAAUGUGUCUCACAGCCAACAUAACAAAUAAUGUUGUUUAGGUAUGUGAAUUUGUGAUUAGCAUACAUUUCAUCUAAAGAGUAAUCUUGCAUCAAUGUUAUAAAAUUAAAGUAAAUUUCUAUCUUUUA
Molecule: long non-coding RNA, 502 nt
Organism: Lates calcarifer (barramundi perch)
Lineage: Eukaryota; Metazoa; Chordata; Actinopteri; Centropomidae
Exons: 3
Source: RefSeq, a predicted model, not a curated record